This is a long non-coding RNA of Pseudopipra pipra, 3172 nucleotides long. RefSeq lists it as uncharacterized. The record is from RefSeq and is a predicted model, not a curated record. Lineage: Eukaryota; Metazoa; Chordata; Aves; Passeriformes; Pipridae. The transcript is spliced from 2 exons.
UCCUGGGUUAUUUCAAAGAUCUCAAGGUUUUCAGUCUCGUUCUAAAAUGGCUGUACAUGUGCAGUUGCAGCUUUUCUGUGCAUACCACCCCCACCCUUACGUGGUCCUGCUGGUAUUUCUGAGUUGUACAGCCUGACUCACUCUGCACAUGUUAAAAGGAGUCAUGCUGCUGACUUCAGUGGCUUUUCAAGAAGCCUCGAGGAACCAAAUGAAUUCUGCCUUUUCUCCAUUUCAUUUUGUACUGGUGCUUAAAUGGCAGAAAUGUGGAACAAGACAGUCCAUUUGGCUGCACAUUUGCUGAGUUUGAAUGAGCUUCCAGAAGCCAGUCACUUUGGGAGCAAUUCUGUGUUCCGAGAAAUGCCAGAAAAAUAUGUGUGCUGAAGGGUUUCUCCAGUAUUACUGCAGAGCACUGAGUCCUUUAUAACAUAAAUCAGCAAGGCAAAGCAUUGCAAGCAUGAACAACAACAGUUUCAUGGGACAUUGAUCUUUGAAAUCUGGAAAGCACCUUUAGAAGCCCUUGAUCAACAUGAAGAGGAUGCUCGGGAGGUUUGGUCCAAGUAUUUCUGCAGGGCUAUUAGAUGGUCAUGUCUUUGCCAUUUCAUCUCUCCAAGGAUGAAGUUGCUUCAUCUGAAGAAAUGAUAGCCACCUUCUUCAUAGAGGAUUUUAGGGUUCUCUUCAAGUUUGUGGGAGAUAUUUUGCAAUAUGGUGCCCAAAGUAACAGAAAACUAUAGUGGUUCAGUGCUCUCUUCCAGCUCUGCAUUCCUGAGUAUGUAGAAAGGUCUUGUGAGAACUCAAUGUUUUUAUUAAGGAUGGCCUGGAUUAUGAGUUUACAAUAGAUAAUCAUGUACAAAUGGCCUUCCAUUUUUAGCUUCUCCUCCCUUCAGAGGCUUCCUCCCUGUACUGACAUAGUUUUCCCUGUAACUUCAGUGUGGCUUUAGGCAGAGACAGAGUACUUGCAGCUCUGGGAGACUUAGUGCUGAAACCUCUUCGGUUGCAAUUGUUCCCACAAUCCUGUGCUUUCCUCAGAAAUCAAGUCACUCCUACUCCCAUUACUAUAUCCCAUAUCCUCUCCCUUUGGAGACCCCAAACCUAUCCUAACAAAUCAUUACAUUCACAAAACUAUCCAGCAUACUCAGGCAGAAUAGCAUCAGAGAUGUAGUCUGUUUUUUUUUCCUCAUCUCAUCCAGAUCUGAUACCAGAGACAAAGAGUAAUUUUGCUGUCCUGAUCAUUCUCUUACAGUUAUUUACAUUUUGUUUUGUUGCUAACAGCUAAUCAAUUUGAAACAAAAACAAAUACUUCUACGACCUCAAAUGAAAACAGUUUGUGUGUGCUUCUUUUAUAUGAAAGAUAGCUGAUAGUUUUAAUCCCAGGAAAAAAAAAGGUUGCUGCAAAGAACUAAAAAUGUAAAAAAAACACAGAAGAGAAAAGAGUUGAGGAAUUCAGGAAGGAAAAAAAAGGCUUCGGGGAAUCACUCUGCUAUUUGCAAAGCAAAAUUGCCGUUUCUGUAAACGAUUAUUUAAUUGUUGAUAUGAAUUUAGCAUGGUGAUAAAAUUUUUUCCUGGCUCUGACAGACAUUCUCUAGUGGAAAGAAAUAAAUCUGGGGAGUUUGAAUUAUGUGCAAUUGGAUCACUGAUUUGCUCUAACUUCAGCAUCAGUUGGAUCUCAUUGUACUUUCUGAUAUAUUUCUAUACAUGAAAACACAACUUGAAAAGUAUUAAAACUGAUUAAAUGUGACAUCACUCAACAUAACACUAGUAUAAAAGGCAAUUCCAGAUUGUGGGGCACACCUCUUGAGUUCUUUGCUAUUCUCACGGAGGCUGGAAAACGCACUUUUGUCUCAGAAAAGGUCUUUUGCUAUCUAUCAGUAAUGAAACUAUGUCACAAACUAUAAUUUGUCUACAUGUAGGACAAAACCUGAAACGUACUCAGCAGGCAGAAGUAACCUGAGUUAUACGUGAAGAAUUAAUAUUGAGCUUUUUGAUAUGUUCGUGGAAAUAUAAAAUUCCAAACUUACUAAUGAGUCAAAUGCAGAAUUGAUUGCAGAGUAUGAAUGUGUGAACGACAGUGCCUGUAUAUUUAGGAAGCACCAGUGAAGUGCUGAGGGCCUCUGAACUCCAGUAUGCAAGUUGGAGUCAAAAAGGAUAAAUCUUUUAUUAGAAGACCGAAGUGUUUAAAUAGGAUGUAUUGUUUACAUUCAACCAGGAGAAGAAGAGAAAUGUUAGUUUACCCAGCUUAGAGUUGUGAUGAACAUGAGCAAGGACGUAAGGAGCACAUUCUCAGCUUGCCUGGAGUCUGAGGUAGAAAUCCCUCUGAUUUAUGUGGGACAGAAUUUCUCCUUGAUCUUCCUUUCUUUUCCUCUCCUCCAUCCUAGAUGUUAGGAUUUCUUCCUCAUUUGGUUCAGCAGAUGUUGCUUUCCUUAUGCAAGAAGAUGUUGUCUUAAAAAAAUUUCAGAGGAAAGUUCAGGCUGUGGCUUGUUACUGCCAUUAUUUAUUUUGAACAAGAUCCAAGAUUAUAAGGCACAUGGACAAUCAGGCUAUGGAUAAAAUGAUUAGGAUAGGGCUGACUCAGACCUGUUAGUCUGGCAAGGAUUCAGCAGAAUAUAUUCCAGAAAGUGAACUCCCUAGAAGUAUUUUGCCUUAUCAGAAGCUUUUAUAAUUCUGUGCGAGAUGAUAGUGGAUGGAAAUAAUCCUUCUUGGAUCAAGGAUAUAAUUUUUUUCCCCAUUUUUUGUAUUUCCAGUGGUGAGAACUGUAGUCAUACCUACACAUAAAUGCUUUUAUUUCUAUCCUACCUGUCUUAUAUUUGUGUCCUACACAAAUUUUGGUAGAGGAGUUGAAUAAACAAUUUACAUUUAUCUAACUAUGUGAGCCUAGGAGAAAAUCUGUUGCUGCUGUUCUGAAUUUCUCCUCAUGAUAAUGUGUAAAACGAUGUAACAAUCUGAUUUUGUUAUCUUUCAGGUCUUUUCAGUUCUCAUCACUUUGACUUUCAACUCAGGAAAAGAGAAAUACUGAAGUUAAAUUCUGUAAGAAUAAUCUGAAUUUAACUGCAUAAACUGAGCACAUAAUAUGUGCAAAAGUGUUAACCUGCUAAAGAAUAGCUCUUUUUUGGGGCGUUCAUUUCAACAUGUUAAUGGAAGUUGCAGUGUGCAACAAAAUAAAUGCAUAUAAAAACAA